CUCACACGAUUUUAAAUUAAUUUUUGCUUCUAGGGGGAGUCCAUCACAACAGCUUGCUGUUGGGACUCUCAAGCGUUGCCCUUGCGUUGCACUAUUGCAAAGGCCUGGCGCACCCCUA
Non-coding RNA from Thalictrum thalictroides, 118 nucleotides. NCBI's taxonomy places the organism in Eukaryota, Viridiplantae, Streptophyta, Magnoliopsida, Ranunculales, Ranunculaceae. The record is from the annotation of a GenBank genome assembly.